Molecule: ribosomal RNA, 263 nt
Filed under: uncultured bacterium
Lineage: Bacteria
Description: partial 16S ribosomal RNA
Rfam family: Bacterial small subunit ribosomal RNA
Source: RNAcentral
UACGUAGGGAUGCAAGCGUUGUCCGGAUUUACUGGGCGUAAAGGGCGCGCAGGCGGCACUACAAGUACUGGGUGAAAUCGUCCCUGCUCAACGGGGAGGGUGCUUUAGUAAGACUGUAGAGCUAGAGGUGGGUAGAGGGUGGUGGAAUUGCUGGUGUAGCGGUAGAAAUGCGUAGAGAGUCAGCAGGAACACCCGUGGCGAAGGCGGCCACCUGGGCCUAACCUGACGCUGAGGCGACGAAGGGCUAGGGGGAGCGAACAGGG